Molecule: long non-coding RNA, 1791 nt
Filed under: Lynx pardinus (Iberian lynx)
Lineage: Eukaryota; Metazoa; Chordata; Mammalia; Carnivora; Felidae
Source: RNAcentral
CAGAUGUGGAAGCAGAAGUGGCAGAAGAAAGGGGAGCAUUUUGUAGGUGGUCGGCCCAGAGCCACGCUCAAGAAUUCUUGCUUCCGGUGUGGGCAGCUAGGCCACUGGUCAUCCCAGUGCCCCCAACCAGGUGAGACCUCUGCUCUGGUGGUGGGCCGGGCUGAGGUUUUUGGAGAGGACUUGUACUCUUGGCGGGGGAGCACCUGUAGCUCAAGUAAAAGAUUCUAUCUGCUUCUUCUACCUAACCUAGAGCAUACCCCAGCCCCCCAGAAGAAAGGUGGUGAGAAUGAAGACGACACACAGACCCUGCUCACUUUGGAGGAAGUAGUCCAGAGGACAGGCAGUGCCAGCUGCCGACUCCCUGGUGAAUGAAGGGGUGGAGGGCAGGUUGUAGCUAGGUGUGUUUUUGCUAGAAUGACCCCAGCCCAGCCUGGAGUUCCCACACCACCCUUUUCCAUCUGUUUCUAGUGAGUGAGAAAGAUCCGGAGCCUGCUGGGCCUGAGCUGUUGGUCACCGUGGAACAGCCUGGGCCCCGGGUGCCCUGCCUGCCCCCUACCGUGCCACCACUUUACCCACCAGGGCCCUCUGGGCAAGUGGCAGGUGAGCAGAUGCUUUUCAGCUGAGAGCCUUUACUGGGGGAUGGGGGCAACUUGAGGCCAUGCUGACCAACACCUGUGUCCCCAGAGACGCCAGCUGAGGUAUUCCAGGCCCUGGAGCAGCUAGGGCACCGUGCCUUCCGCCCCGGACAGGAGCGUGCGGUCAUGCGGAUCCUCUCUGGUGAGCUUGGCUGUUGGGGGAUGGGACAGGGCCAAGGCCCGGCCACAGGAUAGCACACUGACCCUUGUUCCCACCAGGCAUAUCCACGCUGCUGGUGUCGCCCACCGGUGCUGGCAAGUCCUUGUGCUACCAGCUCCCCGCGCUGCUUUAUGCCCGGCGGAGCCCCUGCCUCACACUGGUCAUCUCUCCCCUCCUGUCUCUCAUGGACGACCAGGUGCGCAGACGGGACCCCUCCAGCACAUGCAGAAGGCAGGAACCAGUGCCCACGGCUCUUCCGACCCUUUGGGGCUGCUGUCAGUUACUUGGCCGGAGCUGUAGAGAGCUCAGCUAUUCUCAGCCUGCCAGCUCUGUCCACAGUCCCCGGCCUGGCAAUGGUCCAAGGGCAGCAGGGACACAGCUGGCCAGACCUGAGUCCACCCCCAAGAGGAGCAGCUCUAGGGAGGGAGGACGUCCCCAGUGGGGCCUGUCUGCUCUUGGCACUCCUGAACCAAGGCUCACAGGGGGCUCUGAAUCCUUAGUCACAGGAUCUACGAGCUGGGACUUUUCUCCCUAGGGAGCCCAGGUUGAAGAUGGCAACAGCUGUCAGGCCAAGCACCACUGAGCGCUGUUUGAGGAAGAGCAGGGGAAGGGUGGCUUGCAACUGGUUGUCCUUUUGUACCCACAGGUGUCUGGCCUGCCCCCAUGCCUGAAGGCAGCCUGCAUCCAUUCAGGCAUGACCAGGAAGGAGCGGGACUCUGCCCUGAAAAAGGUGAGGGAGGGGCCUUACACAGCAAGAUGGGUAGGGACAGAAGGCAGGCCCUCGAUGAUGCUCCUGACCUUGCCGUCCUCAGGUUCAGGCGGCCCAGGUGCACGUUCUGAUGCUGUCACCCGAGGCACUGGUUGGGGCUGCGGCAGGGACCCCUGGCUCCCUCCCUCAGCUGCCUCCCGUUGCCUUUGCCUGUGUCGACGAGGCCCACUGCCUGUCCCAAUGGUCCCACAACUUCCGGCCCUGCUACCUGCGUGUCUGCAAGGUGA